Transfer RNA from Camelus ferus (Wild Bactrian camel), 76 nucleotides. It matches the Rfam family "tRNA". From Rfam's summary of the family: Transfer RNA (tRNA) molecules are approximately 80 nucleotides in length. Their secondary structure includes four short double-helical elements and three loops (D, anti-codon, and T loops). Lineage: Eukaryota; Metazoa; Chordata; Mammalia; Artiodactyla; Camelidae. The record is from Rfam.
GUGGGGAUAGCUCAGUGGUCUACAGAGUGCAUGCUUAGCAAGCAUGAGGUUCUGGGUUCAAUUCCCAGUACCUCCA